UAAUAACAAACUCAGAGAAUGGGAAGCAAGAAAAGGAGAGCAUGAAGUACACAGAUGAUAACAAAUAAUCCAGAAUUAUCAAGUCAAGAUCAAGGCCAAAACCAGCAAGGUCCAUAGACUCCCUAUCACUGGAUGAUCAAAGCAGGUGUUCUACUAGAGAGAAGAUAAAAAUGUGGAUUGUGUGCAGCAUUCGGCAGGGACAGAGGACACUAAUAUCAAUGCC
Molecule: long non-coding RNA, 223 nt
Filed under: Homo sapiens (human)
Lineage: Eukaryota; Metazoa; Chordata; Mammalia; Primates; Hominidae
Description: HSALNT0058116
Source: RNAcentral